GACGAACGCUGGCGGCGUGCUUAACACAUGCAAGUCGAACGGAAAGGCCCUGCUUUUGUGGGGUGCUCGAGUGGCGAACGGGUGAGUAACACGUGAGUAACCUGCCCUUGACUUUGGGAUAACUUCAGGAAACUGGGGCUAAUACCGGCUAGGAGCUCCUGCUGCAUGGUGGGGGUUGGAAAGUUUCGGCGGUUGGGGAUGGACUCGCGGCUUAUCAGCUUGUUGGUGGGGUAGUGGCUUACCAAGGCUUUGACGGGUAGCCGGCCUGAGAGGGUGACCGGCCACAUUGGGACUGAGAUACGGCCCAGACUCCUACGGGAGGCAGCAGUGGGGAAUAUUGCACACUGGGCUGCAGCCUGAUGCAGCAACGCCGCGUGCGGGAUGACGGCCUUCGGGUUGUAGACCGCUUUCGCCUGUGACGAAGCGUGAGUGACGGUAAUGGGUAAAGAAGCACCGGCUAACUCCGUG
Molecule: ribosomal RNA, 468 nt
Filed under: uncultured bacterium
Lineage: Bacteria
Description: partial 16S ribosomal RNA
Rfam family: Bacterial small subunit ribosomal RNA
Source: RNAcentral